AGGGAAUAUUGCACAAUGGAGGAAACUCUGAUGCAGCGACGCCGCGUGAGUGAUGAAGGCCUUCGGGUUGUAAAGCUCUGUCGCACAGGAAUAAGAAAGUGAAUGUACUGUGCAAGAAAGGAUCGGCUAACUUCGUGCCAGCAGCCGCGGUAAGACGAGGGAUCCUAGCGUUGUUCGGAAUCAUUGGGCGUAAAGCGGGUGCAUGUUGCUCGAUAAGUCAGGUGUGAAAUCCCAGGGCUCAACCCUGGAAGUGCAUUUGAUACUGUUGAGCUUGAGUGCUGGAGAGGUAAGCAGAAUACCUGGUGUAGUGGUGAAAUACGUAGAUAUCAGGUGGAAUACCGGAGGCGAAGGCGGCUUACUGGCCAGACACUGACACUCAGACCCGAAAGCGUGGGGAUCAAAC
This 403-nucleotide ribosomal RNA is filed under the name uncultured bacterium. RNAcentral's name for it is "bacterial SSU rRNA". It matches the Rfam family "Bacterial small subunit ribosomal RNA", at positions 356 to 773 of the family's 1533-position model. The record is from RNAcentral.